UACGUAGGGGGCAAGCGUUGUCCGGAUUCAUUGGGCGUAAAGAGCGUGUAGGCGGCCAGGUAGGUCGGUUGUGAAAACUGGAGGCUCAACCUUCAGACGUCGACCGAAACCAUCUGGCUAGAGUCCGGGAGAGGAGAGUGGAAUUCCUGGUGUAGCGGUGAAAUGCGUAGAUAUCUGGAGGAAUACCGGUGGCGAAGGCGGCAUCCUGGACCGAGAUUGACGCUGAGGAGCGAAAGCUAGGGGAGCAAACGGG
Molecule: ribosomal RNA, 253 nt
Filed under: uncultured bacterium
Lineage: Bacteria
Description: partial 16S ribosomal RNA
Rfam family: Bacterial small subunit ribosomal RNA
Source: RNAcentral